Molecule: ribosomal RNA, 444 nt
Filed under: Prolygus papuanus
Lineage: Eukaryota; Metazoa; Arthropoda; Insecta; Hemiptera; Miridae
Description: partial large subunit ribosomal RNA
Rfam family: Bacterial large subunit ribosomal RNA
Source: RNAcentral
GACUGUACAAAGGUAGCAUAAUCAUUUGUCUUUUAAUUGAAGGCUUGCAUGAAUGGUUGGAUGAAAAAUAUACUUUCUUUAUUUUAUAAAAAAAAAUUAAUUUUUUAGUCAAAAAGCUAAGAUUUUAUUAUAGGACGAGAAGACCCUAUAGAACUUUAUUUUCUUUUUCAUAUAAAUUUUUUAGUUUUAUAUAAAUUUAUAUGAAGGUGUUAAUUUUGUUGGGGUGAUUGAAAAAAAAAAUUAACUUUUUCUAUUUUUAACAUUUAUUUAUGUUUUUUUGAUCCUUUAUUAUGGAAAUAAGAUUAAGUUACCUUAGGGAUAACAGCGUUAUUUUUUUGGAGAGUUCUUAUCGAUAAAAAAGUUUGCGACCUCGAUGUUGGAUUAAAAUAAGUAAUAGGAGUAGAAUAUUAUUUACUAGGUCUGUUCGACCUUUAAAUUUUUACA